Oreochromis aureus is the source of this 1344-nucleotide long non-coding RNA. NCBI's taxonomy places the organism in Eukaryota, Metazoa, Chordata, Actinopteri, Cichliformes, Cichlidae. The record is from Ensembl.
CCCGCCCAGAUAGAAUGUAUUUACACCAAAUCAAAUACUGAUAGAACUUUUAAGAGGCGAGACCGUCCCCAUUUCCGUACAAUCUGUUACCGGCAGAUUAAAAACAAACAAACAACCAAAUUUAAAAAAAACCCCAACUAAACAGAAAAAUAAAUCCAUUAAAACACUGUAGCUGCCACAAUUCCUCUUAUGAAACAUUGCCGCCCCAACCCUAAAUCAAGUUGGAUGUUUUUUAUUUGCUGUCUGAAAGGCUAUUUAAUGCUCUGCUGCCUGUUAAUUACCAAAUCAACUUUUUUUCCUUACAAAUGUUAGGUACUUUUCCUUAAUUUACUGAAGCUGGAGUAGUGUGAAUGGUAAACUUUACACUGGGUCAAAUGAGCUCUGGGAAAUUUCAAUCAAUAAACACCAUUUUCAGAUACAGUAAAUAGCAUAGUGCUGUUUUCACAGAAUUGAUCACGGUUCCAGCCAACCGUGGUCAAAGCGACGCUCCUGAAAAGUGCAACAGUUGAGUUUUGAAGGGGUGAUAUGUCUGAGGCACAGCCGGCUGGCAUCACCAUUAAUGAGGUGAAAAUCCUCAGCAGUGUUUGGCAGCAUGGUCACCUGCGAACCGGUUCCACAAUCACUUCCCAAGUAUCGAUCCAAGAGACAAUCUCAGCCUGUCGGAUCAGAGUUCAUUGCACUGCUCCAUGUUUCUUGUCCAUGUUUUGAAAUUCAACACCCGGUGGCACCACUAGGUCAAGAUCUACAGCAGUAACCAUUGUAGAAGUCAUGCUACAUGCCACCAACCUGGAUUUAUUUUCAUACAGAACUGAAACCGUAUGGUUUCACACACUUACUAAAACAUAUAUCCUGACAUUCAAAACUCAAGCAAGACACACUUUUGUCCUCCGAAAAGGUAAAUGCGACUUCUACAAUGGCUACACAUCUGUAGGUGAUAACUUAAGAGGAACUGUGAACUGCUCCUUUAGAAACCCAAGAAGAUAAUACUACAGAAAACAAAAACGUAACAAUGGCACCUACAAGGAAAUCGACACCCAGGUGAAAGUGACAGUAUACAGUCAAACCUGAAUGUCUGCAGUCUCAGGCUUUGUACUUCCUGUGUCCCACACUCGCAUUAAAAACCUGUAGCCUCACACUUUUGGGAUGAAAACAAAAGAAAAGCGAAAAAUGAAGGGUUUCAUUCCAAAACAAUGCUGAAAAAAAAAGGUACCAGUUAUUUUACAUCGAUUAAAAUAAAAUUAGAUCAUUUACAAAAUAUUAGCCUACUUUGUAAAAAAAAUUUAUAGUCAAUAUAUGACAUAACAUAUGAUCUAUUAGUGAGUGUUACAGUCAAACUAUUAAUUC